GGUUAAGUUAAUAAGGGCGCACGGUGGAUGCCUUGGCGCUAGAAGCCGAUGAAGGACGUGACUAACGACGAAAUGCUUUGGGGAGCUGUAAGUGAGCAAUGAUCCAGAGAUGUCCGAAUGGGGGAACCCGGCAGGUAAUGCCUGUCACUCAUUACUGUUAAGGUAAUGUAGAGGAAGACGCAGUGAACUGAAACAUCUAAGUAGCUGUAGGAAGAGAAAGCAAAAGCGAUUGCCUUUGUAGUAGCGGCGAGCGAAACGGCAAGAGGGCAAACCGAAGAGUUUACUCUUCGGGGUUGUAGGACUGCAACGUGGACUUAAAGAUUAUAGAAGAACUACCUGGGAAGGUAGGCCAAAGAGAGUAAUAGCCUCGUAUUCGAAAUAGUCUUUAUACCUAGCAGUAUCCUGAGUACGGCGAGACACGAGAAAUCUCGUCGGAAUCUGGGAGGACCAUCUCCCAACCCUAAAUACUCUCUAGUGACCGAUAGUGAACCAGUACCGUGAGGGAAAGGUGAAAAGCACCCCGGGAGGGGAGAAAUAGAACCUGAAACCGUGUGCCUACAACAAGUUCGAGCCCGUUAAUGGGUGAGAGCGUGCCUUUGUAGAAUGAACCGGCGAGUUACGAUAUGAUGCGAGGUUAAGUUGAAGAGACGGAGCCGUAGGGAAACCGAGUCUUAAUAGGGCGCAUUAGUAUCAUGUCGUAGACCCGAAACCAUGUGACCUACCCAUGAGCAGGUUGAAGGUGAGGUAAAACUCACUGGAGGACCGAACCAGGGCACGUUGAAAAGUGCUUGGAUGACUUGUGGGUAGCGGAGAAAUUCCAAACGAACUUGGAGAUAGCUGGUUCUCUCCGAAAUAGCUUUAGGGCUAGCGUCGAUGUUAAGUCUCUUGGAGGUAGAGCACUGUUUGGGUGAGGGGUCCAUCCCGGAUUACCAAUCUCAGAUAAACUCCGAAUGCCAAUGAGAUAUAAUCGGCAGUCAGACUGCGAGUGCUAAGAUCCGUAGUCGAAAGGGAAACAGCCCAGACCACCAGCUAAGGUCCCAAAAUAUAUGUUAAGUGGAAAAGGAUGUGGGGUUGCACAGACAACUAGGAUGUUAGCUUAGAAGCAGCUAUUCAUUCAAAGAGUGCGUAAUAGCUCACUAGUCGAGUGACCCUGCGCCGAAAAUGUACCGGGGCUAAAACAUAUUACCGAAGCUGUGGAUACCUUUAUAGGUAUGGUAGGAGAGCGUUCUAUGUGCGAAGAAGGUGUACCGUGAGGAGUGCUGGAGCGCAUAGAAGUGAGAAUGCCGGUAUGAGUAGCGAAAGACAGGUGAGAAUCCUGUCCACCGUAAGACUAAGGUUUCCAGGGGAAGGCUCGUCCGCCCUGGGUUAGUCGGGACCUAAGGAGAGACCGAAAGGUGUAUCCGAUGGACAACAGGUUGAUAUUCCUGUACUAGAGUAUAUAGUGAUGGAGGGACGCAGUAGGCUAACUAAACCAGACGAUUGGAAGUGUCUGGCCAAGCAGUGAGGUGUGAUAUGAGUCAAAUGCUUAUAUCUUUAACAUUGAGCUGUGAUGGGGAGCGAAGUUUAGUAGCGAAGUUAGUGAUGUCACACUGCCGAGAAAAGCUUCUAGCGUUAAUUAUACUCUACCCGUACCGCAAACCGACACAGGUAGUCGAGGCGAGUAGCCUCAGGUGAGCGAGAGAACUCUCGUUAAGGAACUCGGCAAAAUGGCCCCGUAACUUCGGGAGAAGGGGCGCUGACUGAUGGUCAGCCGCAGUGUGAAUAGGCCCAAGCAACUGUUUAUCAAAAACACAGCUCUCUGCUAAAUCGUAAGAUGAUGUAUAGGGGGUGACGCCUGCCCGGUGCUGGAAGGUUAAGAGGAGUGCUUAGCGUAAGCGAAGGCAUGAAUUGAAGCCCCAGUAAACGGCGGCCGUAACUAUAACGGUCCUAAGGUAGCGAAAUUCCUUGUCGGGUAAGUUCCGACCCGCGCGAAAGGCGUAAUGAUUUGGGCACUGUCUCAACGAGAGACUCGGUGAAAUUUUAGUACCUGUGAAGAUGCAGGUUACCCGCGACAGGACGGAAAGACCCCAUGGAGCUUUACUGCAGUUUGAUAUUGAGUAUCUGUACCACAUGUACAGGAUAGGUAGGAGCCUAUGACCUCGGGACGCCAGUUUCGAGUGAGGCGUUGUUGGGAUACUACCCUUGUGUUAUGGCUACUCUAACCCAGAUAGGUUAUCCCUAUCGGAGACAGUGUCUGACGGGCAGUUUGACUGGGGCGGUCGCCUCCUAAAAGGUAACGGAGGCGCCCAAAGGUUCCCUCAGAAUGGUUGGAAAUCAUUCGCAGAGUGUAAAGGUAUAAGGGAGCUUGACUGCGAGAGCUACAACUCGAGCAGGGACGAAAGUCGGGCUUAGUGAUCCGGUGGUUCCGUAUGGAAGGGCCAUCGCUCAACGGAUAAAAGCUACCCUGGGGAUAACAGGCUUAUCUCCCCAAGAGUUCACAUCGACGGGGAGGUUUGGCACCUCGAUGUCGGCUCGUCGCAUCCUGGGGCUGUAGUCGGUCCCAAGGGUUGGGCUGUUCGCCCAUUAAAGCGGCACGCGAGCUGGGUUCAGAACGUCGUGAGACAGUUCGGUCCCUAUCCGUCGCGGGCGUAGGAAAUUUGAGAGGAUCUGCUCCUAGUACGAGAGGACCAGAGUGGACUUACCGCUGGUGUACCAGUUGUUCUGCCAAGAGCAUCGCUGGGUAGCUAUGUAGGGAAGGGAUAAACGCUGAAAGCAUCUAAGUGUGAAGCCCACCUCAAGAUGAGAUUUCCCAUGAUUUUAUAUCAGUAAGAGCCCUGAGAGAUGAUCAGGUUGAUAGGUUAGAAGUGGAAGUGUGGUGACACAUGUAGCGGACUAAUACUAAUAGCUCGAGGACUUAUCCAA
Molecule: ribosomal RNA, 2901 nt
Filed under: Streptococcus thermophilus
Lineage: Bacteria; Bacillati; Bacillota; Bacilli; Lactobacillales; Streptococcaceae
Description: 23S ribosomal RNA
Rfam family: Bacterial large subunit ribosomal RNA
Source: RNAcentral